Molecule: ribosomal RNA, 462 nt
Filed under: uncultured bacterium
Lineage: Bacteria
Description: partial 16S ribosomal RNA
Rfam family: Bacterial small subunit ribosomal RNA
Source: RNAcentral
AGUGAACGCUGGCGGCGUGCCUAAUACAUGCAAGUCGAACGGAGAUUAAGUAGCUUGCUAUUUAAUCUUAGUGGCGCACGGGUGAGUAAUAUAUAGCUAACUUGCCCAUUACUAAGGGACAACAGUUGGAAACGACUGCUAAUACCUUAUACUCCGUAUCUACAUAAGUAGAUACGGGAAAGUUUUUCGGUAAUGGAUAGGGCUAUAUCGUAUCAGCUAGUUGGUAAGGUAAUGGCUUACCAAGGCUAUGACGCGUAACUGGUCUGAGAGGAUGAUCAGUCACACUGGAACUGAGACACGGUCCAGACUCCUACGGGAGGCAGCAGUAGGGAAUAUUGCUCAAUGGGGGAAACCCUGAAGCAGCAACGCCGCGUGGAGGAUGACACUUUUCGGAGCGUAAACUCCUUUUCUUGGGAAAGAAUUAUGACGGUACCCAAGGAAUAAGCACCGGCUAACUCCGUG